This 69-nucleotide transfer RNA is filed under the name Lampris guttatus (North Atlantic opah). Its description in RNAcentral is "tRNA-Gly". It matches the Rfam family "tRNA". Rfam says of the family: Transfer RNA (tRNA) molecules are approximately 80 nucleotides in length. Their secondary structure includes four short double-helical elements and three loops (D, anti-codon, and T loops). Further hydrogen bonds mediate the characteristic L-shaped molecular structure. tRNAs have two regions of fundamental functional importance: the anti-codon, which is responsible for specific mRNA codon recognition, and the 3' end, to which the tRNAs corresponding amino acid is attached (by aminoacyl-tRNA synthetases). tRNAs cope with the degeneracy of the genetic code in two manners: having more than one tRNA (with a specific anti-codon) for a particular amino acid; and 'wobble' base-pairing, i.e. permitting non-standard base-pairing at the 3rd anti-codon position. The record is from RNAcentral. Lineage: Eukaryota; Metazoa; Chordata; Actinopteri; Lampriformes; Lampridae.
AUUUUCCUAGUACAAACAGUAUAAGUGACUUCCAAUCACACGAUCCUGGUUCAACCCCAGGGGGAAAUA